This is a transfer RNA of 88 nucleotides. It matches the Rfam family "tRNA". From Rfam's summary of the family: Transfer RNA (tRNA) molecules are approximately 80 nucleotides in length. Their secondary structure includes four short double-helical elements and three loops (D, anti-codon, and T loops). Further hydrogen bonds mediate the characteristic L-shaped molecular structure. tRNAs have two regions of fundamental functional importance: the anti-codon, which is responsible for specific mRNA codon recognition, and the 3' end, to which the tRNAs corresponding amino acid is attached (by aminoacyl-tRNA synthetases). tRNAs cope with the degeneracy of the genetic code in two manners: having more than one tRNA (with a specific anti-codon) for a particular amino acid; and 'wobble' base-pairing, i.e. permitting non-standard base-pairing at the 3rd anti-codon position. The record is from Rfam.
UCUCAGAUCGUAUAGUGGUCAGUAUUUCUGCUUGUCAUCGAGCAGAGACAAUUCGCAGGAGGCCGGGGUUCGAUUCCCCGUCUGAGAG